AAUUGCAACUUAUGGCCCAAAGGUUUGAAUAAUUAAAUUCAGACUUAUAGUUUUUUUUAAUAUAAUUUUGGGACUCACAAUCCCAUUUUUAUAUUAUUUUUCUCUCUUCCUCUCACGUUGCUCGGCGUUUUCUGCAAGGGGGGAUUAUUUUCUUUUUCUUCAGAUUAUAUUGACAAAGAUAGUGGUGAAAAAGGAGUUGUGAAGGGGAACUUGUUAUUCAAGACACAAGGAGCGAGUCCGGCCGAGAAAGCACCAGAGGUGUAACUAUGGUGUAUGAAACACCAUCUUUUACGUUGCCUCUUAUUUUGGAUUAUACAAUGUAUCUUGUGCCAACUUAGGACAUAUCUUCUUUGUGAAGCAUGUAAACUCUAAUCCUUUUUAUUAAAAGUAUUUAUUUGACCAA
Long non-coding RNA from Prosopis cineraria, 403 nucleotides. RefSeq lists it as uncharacterized. Lineage: Eukaryota; Viridiplantae; Streptophyta; Magnoliopsida; Fabales; Fabaceae. The record is from RefSeq and is a predicted model, not a curated record. The transcript is spliced from 3 exons.